This 437-nucleotide unclassified non-coding RNA is filed under the name fungal sp. RNAcentral's name for it is "partial internal transcribed spacer region". The stretch from base 1 to 46 matches the Rfam family "Eukaryotic small subunit ribosomal RNA", at positions 1786 to 1831 of the family's 1831-position model. The record is from RNAcentral. Lineage: Eukaryota; Fungi.
AAGUCGUAACAAGGUCUCCGUAGGAGAACCUGCGGAGGGAUCAUUAACACGAAUACACUAAGAGAUCGUUAAACAUUUCUUAGUCGUUUCAAAACAACAACCAAACUCGUGAACUCGAAUUCUUAAUUGAAUUCAAUCCGCCCCUUUUGUAGAACGUUAACAAAGAGAAAAAUAUCGCUUGCGUGUUUAUACCUAUCAAUAAAUGUGAUGGUAUUAUAGAAAUAUAAUACUUAUUGAUAAUCAUAAACUGAUAUUCUUCUUUCGUUCUAUGAUUGGACCCAUACCUUUUUUGCAUCACAAAAAAAACAUACAAACCUAUUUCACCCUAACCAUAUAAACAUUGACUGAUUUUUGUUUUUUUGGAAACUUAAAAACAUUAAACUCGAUAUCAUCGAAAACUAAAAGCACAACUCUUAGCAACGGAUAUCUUGGUUCUC